UCCGAUAUGGUGUAGUGGUGGCCAACAUGAUGCCCUCUCAUUCUUGAGAGGUUAGGCAUAGCCCCGAGUUCGAUUCUCGGUUUCGGAA
This 88-nucleotide transfer RNA is filed under the name Colletotrichum fructicola Nara gc5. RNAcentral describes it as "tRNA-Glu for anticodon CUC". It matches the Rfam family "tRNA". Rfam says of the family: Transfer RNA (tRNA) molecules are approximately 80 nucleotides in length. Their secondary structure includes four short double-helical elements and three loops (D, anti-codon, and T loops). Further hydrogen bonds mediate the characteristic L-shaped molecular structure. tRNAs have two regions of fundamental functional importance: the anti-codon, which is responsible for specific mRNA codon recognition, and the 3' end, to which the tRNAs corresponding amino acid is attached (by aminoacyl-tRNA synthetases). tRNAs cope with the degeneracy of the genetic code in two manners: having more than one tRNA (with a specific anti-codon) for a particular amino acid; and 'wobble' base-pairing, i.e. permitting non-standard base-pairing at the 3rd anti-codon position. The record is from RNAcentral. Lineage: Eukaryota; Fungi; Ascomycota; Sordariomycetes; Glomerellales; Glomerellaceae.